GCCGGGGUGGCGGAACUGGUAUACGCGCUGGUCUUAGAAGCCAGUGGUUCACACCAUGCGGGUUCAAUCCCCGCCCCCGGCACCA
RNAcentral lists this transfer RNA (85 nucleotides) under Desulfovibrio sp. Its description in RNAcentral is "tRNA-Leu". It matches the Rfam family "tRNA". Rfam says of the family: Transfer RNA (tRNA) molecules are approximately 80 nucleotides in length. Their secondary structure includes four short double-helical elements and three loops (D, anti-codon, and T loops). Further hydrogen bonds mediate the characteristic L-shaped molecular structure. tRNAs have two regions of fundamental functional importance: the anti-codon, which is responsible for specific mRNA codon recognition, and the 3' end, to which the tRNAs corresponding amino acid is attached (by aminoacyl-tRNA synthetases). tRNAs cope with the degeneracy of the genetic code in two manners: having more than one tRNA (with a specific anti-codon) for a particular amino acid; and 'wobble' base-pairing, i.e. permitting non-standard base-pairing at the 3rd anti-codon position. Lineage: Bacteria; Pseudomonadati; Thermodesulfobacteriota; Desulfovibrionia; Desulfovibrionales; Desulfovibrionaceae. RNAcentral also lists the same sequence under 4 other names. The record is from RNAcentral.